This 248-nucleotide ribosomal RNA is filed under the name uncultured bacterium. RNAcentral's name for it is "partial 16S ribosomal RNA". It matches the Rfam family "Bacterial small subunit ribosomal RNA", at positions 57 to 305 of the family's 1533-position model. The record is from RNAcentral.
GCAAGUCGAAGGUGAAGCUAGAGCUUGCUCCUUUAAAUUAGUGGCGAACGGGUGAGUAACACGUGGGCAACCUGCCCCUGACUCUGGGAUAACUACUCGAAAGAGUAGCUAAUACCGGAUAUGAAACCUGAAGACAUCUUCGGGUUUGGAAAGUUUUUCGGUCAGGGAUGGGCCCGCGGCCUAUCAGCUAGUUGGUGAGGUAGUGGCUCACCAAGGCGACGACGGGUAGCCGGCCUGAGAGGGCGACC